Molecule: long non-coding RNA, 211 nt
Filed under: Elaeis guineensis (African oil palm)
Lineage: Eukaryota; Viridiplantae; Streptophyta; Magnoliopsida; Arecales; Arecaceae
Description: long non-coding RNA (EGUI_LNC046742)
Source: RNAcentral
AGUACUAGGCUACUAAGAUCUAAAAUUUAAUUUCAUAUAUAAUUACAUCAACAUGCAAUUAUUGACAAAACUAUUUUAUGUCAUGAACAUAUCCUUGAUCUCAUCAAUUAUGUUCUUCAUUUAAUCCAAUUAGAUUUGAUGUAUCAUAUACAUCAUAUCAAAUCUAAAACUUAUCUUAUACUGAUUAUAAAAUAUUAAUUUUAAAUUUGAU